This 440-nucleotide ribosomal RNA is filed under the name uncultured bacterium. RNAcentral's name for it is "partial 16S ribosomal RNA". It matches the Rfam family "Bacterial small subunit ribosomal RNA", at positions 338 to 795 of the family's 1533-position model. The record is from RNAcentral.
CCUACGGGAUGCAGCAGUAGGGAAUAUUGCUCAAUGGGCGAAACCCUGAAGCAGCAACGCCGCGUGGAGGAUGAAGGUUUUAGGAUUGUAACCUCCUUUUAUUAGAGAAGAUUAUGACGGUUCCUAACGAAUAAGCACCGGCCAAAUCCGUGCCAGCAGCCGCGGUCAUACUGCAGGUGCCAGCGUUACUCCGAAUCACUGGGCGUAAAGAGUGCGUAGGCGGGGUAAUAAGUCAGGUGGGAAAUCCUAUGGGCUAACUCCAGACCGGCAUUUGAAACUGGUACUCUGGAGUGUGGGAGAGGUAGGUGGAAUGCUUGGUGUAGGGGUAAAAUGCGUAGAGAUCAAGAGGAAUACUCAUUGCGAAGGCGGCCUGCUGGAACAUUACUGACGCUGAUGCACGAAAGCGUGGGGAGCAAACAGGAUUAGAUACCCCAGUAGUC